Molecule: ribosomal RNA, 460 nt
Filed under: uncultured bacterium
Lineage: Bacteria
Description: partial 16S ribosomal RNA
Rfam family: Bacterial small subunit ribosomal RNA
Source: RNAcentral
CCUACGGGAGGCAGCAGUGAGGAAUAUUGGUCAAUGGACGAGAGUCUGAACCAGCGAAGUAGCGUGAAGGAUGACUGCCCUAUGGGUUGUAAACUUCUUUUAUAAAUGAAUAAAACGAGGCACGUGUGCCUUUUUGCAUGUACUUUAUGAAUAAGGAUCGGCUAACUCCAUGCCAGCAGCCGCGGUAAUACGGAGGAUCCGAGCGUUAUCCGGAUUUAUUGGGUGUAAAGGGAGCGUAGAUGGGUUGUUAAGUCAGUUGUGAAAGUUUGCGGCUCAACCGUAAAAUUGCAAUUGAUACUGGCAGUCUUGAGUACAGUUGAGGUAGGCGGAAUUCGUGGUGUAGCGGUGAAAUGCUUAGAUAUCACGAAGAACCCCGAUUGCGAAGGCAGCUUACUAAACUGUGACUGACAUUGAUGCUCGAAAGUGUGGGGAUCAAACAGGAUUAGAUACCCCGGUAGUC